UGGGGAAUCUUGCGCAAUGGCCGAAAGGCUGACGCAGCGACGCCGCGUGUGGGAUGACGCCUUUCGGGGUGUAAACCACUGUUGCCCGGGACGAACAGCGUUUUUCGAGACGCCUGACGGUACCGGGUGAGGAAGCACCGGCUAACUCCGUGCCAGCAGCCGCGGUAAUACGGAGGGUGCGAGCGUUGUCCGGAAUCACUGGGCGUAAAGGGCGCGUAGGUGGCUGGGGAAGUCGGCGGUGAAAGCCCGGAGCUCAACUCCGGGUCGGCCGUCGAGACUCCUCGGCUCGAGCUCACUAGAGGCAGAUGGAAUUCCGGGUGUAGCGGUGGAAUGCGUAGAGAUCCGGAAGAACACCGGUGGCGAAGGCGGUCUGCUGGGGUGAGGCUGACACUGAUGCGCGACAGCGUGGGGAGCAAACA
RNAcentral lists this ribosomal RNA (419 nucleotides) under uncultured Gemmatimonas sp. Its description in RNAcentral is "bacterial SSU rRNA". It matches the Rfam family "Bacterial small subunit ribosomal RNA", at positions 355 to 774 of the family's 1533-position model. Lineage: Bacteria; Pseudomonadati; Gemmatimonadota; Gemmatimonadia; Gemmatimonadales; Gemmatimonadaceae. The record is from RNAcentral.